This 466-nucleotide ribosomal RNA is filed under the name uncultured bacterium. RNAcentral describes it as "partial 16S ribosomal RNA". It matches the Rfam family "Bacterial small subunit ribosomal RNA", at positions 28 to 506 of the family's 1533-position model. The record is from RNAcentral.
GACGAACGCUGGCGGCGUGCUUAACACAUGCAAGUCGAACGGAAAGGCUCCAGCUUGCUGGAGUACUCGAGUGGCGAACGGGUGAGUAACACGUGGGUAAUCUGCCCUGCACUCUGGGAUAAGCCUGGGAAACUGGGUCUAAUACUGGAUAUGACCUUUCUCCUUAUGGGGUUUGGUGGAAAGUUUUUCGGUGUAGGAUGAGCCCGCGGCCUAUCAGCUUGUUGGUGGGGUGAUGGCCUACCAAGGCGACGACGGGUAGCCGGCCUGAGAGGGUGAUCGGCAACAUUGGGACUGAGAUACGGCCCAGACUCCUACGGGAGGCAGCAGUGGGGAAUAUUGCACAAUGGGCGGAAGCCUGAUGCAGCGACGCCGCGUGAGGGAUGACGGCCUUCGGGUUGUAAACCUCUUUCAGCAGGGACGAAGCGUAAGUGACGGUACCUGCAGAAGAAGCACCGGCUAACUAUGU